GAAGGGUGCAAGCGUUACUCGGAAUUACUGGGCGUAAAGCGUGCGUAGGUGGUUUGUUAAGUCUGAUGUGAAAGCCCUGGGCUCAACCUGGGAAUGGCAUUGGAUACUGGCAGUCUAGAGUGCGGUAGAGGGUAGCGGAAUUCCCGGUGUAGCAGUGAAAUGCGUAGAUAUCGGGAGGAACAUCCGUGGCGAAGGCGGCUACCUGGACCAGCACUGACACUGAGGCACGAAAGCGUGGGGAGCAAACAGGAUUAGAUACCCUGGUAGUCCACGCCCUAAACGAUGCGAACUGGAUGUUGGGGACACUUAGGUCUUCAGUAUCGAAGCUAACGCGUUAAGUUCGCCGCCUGGGAAGUACGGUCGCAAGACUG
This 371-nucleotide ribosomal RNA is filed under the name uncultured bacterium. Its description in RNAcentral is "bacterial SSU rRNA". It matches the Rfam family "Bacterial small subunit ribosomal RNA", at positions 527 to 896 of the family's 1533-position model. The record is from RNAcentral.